This 301-nucleotide ribosomal RNA is filed under the name uncultured bacterium. RNAcentral describes it as "partial 16S ribosomal RNA". It matches the Rfam family "Bacterial small subunit ribosomal RNA", at positions 509 to 807 of the family's 1533-position model. The record is from RNAcentral.
CAGUAGCCGCGGUAAUCCGAAGGGUGCAAGCGUUAAUCGGAAUUACUGGGCGUAAAGCGUGCGUAGGCGGUGGGUUAAGUCUGCUGUGAAAUCCCCGGGCUCAACCUGGGAAUGGCAGUGGAUACUGGCUCGCUAGAGUGUGUCAGAGGAUGGUGGAAUUCCCGGUGUAGCGGUGAAAUGCGUAGAGAUCGGGAGGAACAUCAGUGGCGAAGGCGGCCAUCUGGGACAACACUGACGCUGAGGCACGAAAGCGUGGGGAGCAAACAGGAUUAGAUACCCGCGUAGUCCCUGUCUCUUAUAC